This 274-nucleotide ribosomal RNA is filed under the name uncultured bacterium. Its description in RNAcentral is "partial 16S ribosomal RNA". It matches the Rfam family "Bacterial small subunit ribosomal RNA", at positions 523 to 796 of the family's 1533-position model. The record is from RNAcentral.
CUACGGAGGUUGCGAGCGUUAAUCGGAAUUACUGGGCGUAAAGCGUACGUAGGCGGUUGGUUAAGUUAGAUGUGAAAGCCCCGGGCUUAACCUGGGAACUGCAUUUAAAACUGGCGAACUAGAGUUGAGUAGAGGGGAGUGGAAUUUCAGGUGUAGCGGUGAAAUGCGUAGAGAUCUGAAGGAACACCAGUGGCGAAGGCGACUCCCUGGACUCGAACUGACGCUGAGGUACGAAAGCGUGGGUAGCAAACGGGAUUAGAUACCCUAGUAGUCC